RNAcentral lists this ribosomal RNA (253 nucleotides) under uncultured bacterium. RNAcentral's name for it is "partial 16S ribosomal RNA". It matches the Rfam family "Bacterial small subunit ribosomal RNA", at positions 524 to 776 of the family's 1533-position model. The record is from RNAcentral.
UACAUGUGGGGCAAGCGUUGUUCGGAAUUACUGGGCGUAAAGGGUGCGUAGGUGGUUUGUUAAGUCACGGGUGAAAGUUUUCGGCCCAACCGGAAAAUUGCCUGUGAUACUGGCGAACUUGAGUGCGUGAGGGGUAACCGGAACGAGCAGUGUAGCGGUGAAAUGCGUAGAUAUUGCUCGGAAGGCCAGAGGCGAAGGCGGGUUACUGGUACGCAACUGACACUGAGGCACGAAAGCGUGGGGAGCAAACAGG